CCAUAGAUCUUGUGUGGAUUGCUUACGAC
This 29-nucleotide non-coding RNA is filed under the name Mus musculus (house mouse). The record is from RNAcentral. Lineage: Eukaryota; Metazoa; Chordata; Mammalia; Rodentia; Muridae.